Molecule: ribosomal RNA, 444 nt
Filed under: uncultured Anaerolineaceae bacterium
Lineage: Bacteria; Bacillati; Chloroflexota; Anaerolineae; Anaerolineales; Anaerolineaceae
Description: bacterial SSU rRNA
Rfam family: Bacterial small subunit ribosomal RNA
Source: RNAcentral
ACAGGCAGCGGAGCGUGUUGGUUUAAUUCGUUGCUACACGAAGAACCUUACCUGGGUUUGACAUAUAAGUUGUAGGGAACUGAAAAGGGACCGACCCUUCGGGAGCUUAUACAGGUGUUGCAUGGCUGUCGUCAGCUCGUGUCGUGAGAUGUUCGGUUAAGUCCGCUAACGAGCGCAACCCUCGCCGUAUGUUACAAGUGUCAUACGGGACUGCCGGUAAAAAGCCGGAGGAAGGUGAGGAUGAUGUCAAGUCAGCAUGACCUUUAUAUCCAGGGCUACACACACGCUACAAUGGUCUGUACAAUUGGUUGCCAAGCCGCGAGGCGGAGCCAAUCCGUAAAGCAGGCCUCAGUUCAGAUUGCAGUCUGCAACUCGACUGCAUGAAGCCGGAGUUGCUAGUAACCGCAGGUCAGCAAUACUGCGGUGAAUACGUUCCCGGGUCUU